Molecule: long non-coding RNA, 377 nt
Organism: Heterocephalus glaber (naked mole-rat)
Lineage: Eukaryota; Metazoa; Chordata; Mammalia; Rodentia; Bathyergidae
Source: Ensembl
GGACCCGGCCAGGAAGGAGACGAGGCCCCUUGGGGAGCUCACUCAGAGGACACAAAGCACAGAUGUGCCCCUCGCAGCCCCCCCAGUCCCAGAGAGACUGGGUGCACAGGUGCUUCAGGACCUGGCAGCAGGUCGUGCAGAGGGGCCCAGUGCCAGGGCCACCUGGCUGAAUGUCCUGUGAGGAUCCUGAGGAGGUGCCUGGGACAGUGGGUGCGUGCGGAUGAGGCAACUCCGAGCCUCAGAGGAGGCGAAGGUGACCCAGCUGUCCCUCUGGCGGCAGAGGAGGGGGACCUGGCCCUCUGGAGCUCAGCCCACGACGUGGAGACAGUGGCCUGGGUGUCCCUGCAUGGUGCCUGCUGGAGACUGGCCCUCCGCCG